This 486-nucleotide ribosomal RNA is filed under the name uncultured bacterium. RNAcentral describes it as "partial 16S ribosomal RNA". It matches the Rfam family "Bacterial small subunit ribosomal RNA", at positions 28 to 507 of the family's 1533-position model. The record is from RNAcentral.
GAUGAACGCUGGCGGCGUGCCUAAUACAUGCAAGUCGAACGCUGGAAAUCUAGCUUGCUAGAUUGAAGGAGUGGCGAACGGGUGAGUAAUACAUAAGCAACCUACCCACGAAGACUGGGAUAAUCUCUGGAAACGGGGACUAAUACCGGAUAGGUAAUCGGAAGGCAUCUUCUGAUUAUUAAAGGUUAAAAACACUGGUGGAUGGGCUUAUGGCGCAUUAGUUAGUUGGUGAGGUAACGGCCCACCAAGACGAUGAUGCGUAGCCGGCCUGAGAGGGUGAACGGCCACAUUGGGACUGCGACACGGCCCAGACUCCUACGGGAGGCAGCAGUAGGGAAUUUUCGGCAAUGGGGGAAACCCUGACCGAGCAACGCCGCGUGAGUGAGGACGGCCUUCGGGUUGUAAAGCUCUGUUGUAAGGGAAGAACGGUAGAUAGAGAAUAUCUAAAUGACGGUACCUUACCAGAAAGCCACGGCUAACUACGUG